ACUCAAAUGAAUUGACGGGGGCUCACACAAGCGGUGGAGCAUGUUGCUUAAUUCGAGGCAACGCGAAGAACCUUACCUGGGUUUGACAUGCUUGGAUUAACUCCUUGAAAGAGGAGCCACACCCUCUGGGUGGAACAAGCACAGGUGCUGCAUGGCUGUCGUCAGCUCGUGCUGUGAAGCGUCGGGUUAAGUCCUAUAACGAGCGCAACCCCUGUCGCUAGUUGCUCGGUUCGCCAGUACUCUAGCGAGACUGCCGGUGUCAAACCGGAGGAAGGUGGGGAUGACGUCAAGUCCUCAUGGCCCUUACAUCCAGGGUUGCAAACGUGCUACAAUGGUGCAUACAAAGCGACGCAAGAUCGCAAGAUGGAGCAAAUCGCAAAAAAUGCACCCCAGUUCGGAUUGUCGGCUGCAAUUCGCCGGCAUGAAGUCGGAAUCGCUAGUAAUCGGAGAUCAGCUACGCUCCGGUGAAUGUGUUCCUGAGCCUUGUACACACCGCCCGU
Molecule: ribosomal RNA, 500 nt
Filed under: uncultured bacterium
Lineage: Bacteria
Description: partial 16S ribosomal RNA
Rfam family: Bacterial small subunit ribosomal RNA
Source: RNAcentral